This 533-nucleotide ribosomal RNA is filed under the name uncultured bacterium. RNAcentral describes it as "bacterial SSU rRNA". It matches the Rfam family "Bacterial small subunit ribosomal RNA", at positions 777 to 1312 of the family's 1533-position model. The record is from RNAcentral.
AAUAGAUACCCGGGUAGUCCACGCUGUAAACGUUGGGCGCUAGGUGUGGGGGCCUCUCCGGUUCCCUGUGCCGCAGCUAACGCAUUAAGCGCCCCGCCUGGGGAGUACGGCCGCAAGGCUAAAACUCAAAGGAAUUGACAGGGGCCCGCACAAGCGGCGGAGCAUGCGGAUUAAUUCGAUGCAACGCGAAGAACCUUACCUGGGUUUGACAUGGCCGCAAAACUCGCAGAGAUGUGAGGUCCUUCGGGGCGGUCACAGGUGGUGCAUGGCUGUCGUCAGCUCGUGUCGUGAGAUGUUGGGUUAAGUCCCGCAACGAGCGCAACCCUCGUUCGAUGUUGCCAGCGCGUUAUGGCGGGGACUCAUCGAAGACUGCCGGGGUCAACUCGGAGGAAGGUGGGGAUGACGUCAAGUCAUCAUGCCCCUUAUGUCCAGGGCUUCACGCAUGCUACAAUGGCCGGUACAAUGGGCUGCGAUACCGUGAGGUGGAGCGAAUCCCAAAAAGCCGGUCUCAGUUCGGAUCGGGGUCUGCAACG